GCACCCACAUGGUGGCUAACACCCAUCGGUAACUCCAGUUCUAGGGGAUCCAACCCAUUGCACUUGGGAUGUGCUGACCCCUGUGAUUUCCCCAAAUGUCGGAAACUUGGCUUCACAAUUUGUGGUAGUGGAGGAGUGUGUUUGUGCUCUCCCCUG
Nannospalax galili (Upper Galilee mountains blind mole rat) is the source of this 156-nucleotide small nuclear RNA. Its record names the gene U1. It matches the Rfam family "U1 spliceosomal RNA". From Rfam's summary of the family: U1 is a small nuclear RNA (snRNA) component of the spliceosome (involved in pre-mRNA splicing). Its 5' end forms complementary base pairs with the 5' splice junction, thus defining the 5' donor site of an intron. There are significant differences in sequence and secondary structure between metazoan and yeast U1 snRNAs, the latter being much longer (568 nucleotides as compared to 164 nucleotides in human). The record is from Ensembl. Lineage: Eukaryota; Metazoa; Chordata; Mammalia; Rodentia; Spalacidae.